UACAGAGGCGGCAAGCGUUGUUCGGAUUUAUUGGGUGUAAAGGGCAGGUAGGUGGUCAAGCAAGUCCGCUGUGAAAUCCCAGGGCUCAACCCUGGAACUGCAGUAGAAACUGCUCGACUUGAGUAUCGGAGAGGUAAGGGGAAUUCUUGGUGUAAGGGUGAAAUCUGUAGAUAUCAAGAGGAAUACCAGUGGCGAAGGCGCCUUACUGGCCGAUAACUGACACUGAGCUGCGAAAGCAAGGGGAGCAAACAGG
Molecule: ribosomal RNA, 253 nt
Filed under: uncultured bacterium
Lineage: Bacteria
Description: partial 16S ribosomal RNA
Rfam family: Bacterial small subunit ribosomal RNA
Source: RNAcentral